Molecule: long non-coding RNA, 762 nt
Organism: Capra hircus (goat)
Lineage: Eukaryota; Metazoa; Chordata; Mammalia; Artiodactyla; Bovidae
Exons: 3
Source: RefSeq, a predicted model, not a curated record
AUUGAGGGACUGAACAACAAAACCACUAAAAAUGGUUCUUUAAGGGCCUUGAAAUGCAGAAACGCAGCCCAAACCCAACAAUGGGUGGGAGACAAAGCCAGCUUCAGAGAUGCCACUGUGUAGCGCCAAGGGGGCGCGGGCAGAAUCCGCCCGCAAAUAAUACCGCCAGAGGCCAUUCAGACUGAGUUCCGCUUGGGAGUGGUGACUGGGGAAGUCCAAAGGGAGCACGGAGCGCGCCCGUGCCCUGCGAGAGCCUGCCGCACGUUUCCGCAGGGUCCCGGGCGCCUGGGGACCGGCGCGCCACGCAUGCACGCUGGGUGAGAGGCGAGCCGCGGCGGGGUGAGCGUGACCCAUCUCUGCCGGGGCCUGCAGAGGCUCCCACCGCCUGAGAAGCCGUCUGCAUCAGAACCUGCUUGGAAAGCAGAAAGAGGGCAAGGAACACGCUGGUUAUCCUGUCUCAGUCCUGUUCGUCUCCUGGUGAGCCGACUGGUUUCUCUGACAACGACACUGUGGAAGGAAAUGGAGACAGAGCCCUCCAUGCCACCGCUCCUUACUUGACAGUCAGAUGACGGUGGCCGGGCCGGCACUCUGCUCCGUAUUAAAGAAGGAAAAUUAAGAUUAGUUGGGUGAGUGACCUGCAGCAUUGCCACAGUUCUGUGACGCACACAAGACCUAUGCCGGUACCAACUCUGAAAUGGGGGUUUUGUCCAAGGCGCCUGUGUUUGCAUUUAAAACAGGCUUUGCACACUGUAAACAAUAAAA